GACGAACCACACAAACGUUAUUCGGAAUUACUGGGCUUAAAGGGUGCGUAGGCGGCGCAGAAAGUAGGGUGUGAAAUCCCUCGGCUCAACCGAGGAACUGCGCCCUAAACUACUGUGCUCGAGAGAGGUAGAGGUGAGCGGAACUUAGGGUGGAGCGGUGAAAUGCGUUGAUAUCCUAAGGAACACCGGUGGCGAAAGCGGCUCACUGGACCUCUUCUGACGCUGAGGCACGAAAGCUAGGGUAGCGAACGGG
Molecule: ribosomal RNA, 253 nt
Filed under: uncultured bacterium
Lineage: Bacteria
Description: partial 16S ribosomal RNA
Rfam family: Bacterial small subunit ribosomal RNA
Source: RNAcentral